This 1417-nucleotide ribosomal RNA is filed under the name uncultured bacterium. RNAcentral describes it as "bacterial SSU rRNA". It matches the Rfam family "Bacterial small subunit ribosomal RNA". The record is from RNAcentral.
CUAACACAUGCAAGUCGAGCGGUAGCACAGAGAGCUUGCUCUCGGGUGACGAGCGGCGGACGGGUGAGUAAUGUCUGGGAAACUGCCUGAUGGAGGGGGAUAACUACUGGAAACGGUAGCUAAUACCGCAUAAUGUCGUAAGACCAAAGUGGGGGACCUUCGGGCCUCAUGCCAUCAGAUGUGCCCAGAUGGGAUUAGCUAGAAGGUGGGGUAACGGCUCACCUAGGCGACGAUCCCUAGCUGGUCUGAGAGGAUGACCAGCCACACUGGAACUGAGACACGGUCCAGACUCCUACGGGAGGCAGCAGUGGGGAAUAUUGCACAAUGGGCGCAAGCCUGAUGCAGCCAUGCCGCGUGUGUGAAGAAGGCCUUCGGGUUGUAAAGCACUUUCAGCGGGGAGGAAGGCGUUAAGGUUAAUAACCUUGGCGAUUGACGUUACCCGCAGAAGAAGCACCGGCUAACUCCGUGCCAGCAGCCGCGGUAAUACGGAGGGUGCAAGCGUUAAUCGGAAUUACUGGGCGUAAAGCGCACGCAGGCGGUCUGUCAAGUCGGAUGUGAAAUCCCCGGGCUCAACCUGGGAACUGCAUUCGAAACUGGCAGGCUAGAGUCUUGUAGAGGGGGGUAGAAUUCCAGGUGUAGCGGUGAAAUGCGUAGAGAUCUGAGGAAUACCGGUGGCGAAGGCGGCCCCCUGGACAAAGACUGACGCUCAGGUGCGAAAGCGUGGGGAGCAAACAGGAUUAGAUACCCUGGUAGUCCACGCCGUAAACGAUGUCGAUUUGGAGGUUGUGCCCUUGAGGCGUGGCUUCCGGAGCUAACGCGUUAAAUCGACCGCCUGGGGAGUACGGCCGCAAGGUUAAAACUCAAAUGAAUUGACGGGGGCCCGCACAAGCGGUGGAGCAUGUGGUUUAAUUCGAUGCAACGCGAAGAACCUUACCUGGUCUUGACAUCCACAGAACUUAGCAGAGAUGCUUUGGUGCCUUCGGGAACUGUGAGACAGGUGCUGCAUGGCUGUCGUCAGCUCGUGUUGUGAAAUGUUGGGUUAAGUCCCGCAACGAGCGCAACCCUUAUCCUUUGUUGCCAGCGGUUAGGCCGGGAACUCAAAGGAGACUGCCAGUGAUAAACUGGAGGAAGGUGGGGAUGACGUCAAGUCAUCAUGGCCCUUACGACCAGGGCUACACACGUGCUACAAUGGCAUAUACAAAGAGAAGCGACCUCGCGAGAGCAAGCGGACCUCAUAAAGUAUGUCGUAGUCCGGAUUGGAGUCUGCAACUCGACUCCAUGAAGUCGGAAUCGCUAGUAAUCGUAGAUCAGAAUGCUACGGUGAAUACGUUCCCGGGCCUUGUACACACCGCCCGUCACACCAUGGGAGUGGGUUGCAAAAGAAGUAGGUAGCUUAACCUUCGGGAGGGCGCUUACC